RNAcentral lists this ribosomal RNA (468 nucleotides) under uncultured bacterium. Its description in RNAcentral is "partial 16S ribosomal RNA". It matches the Rfam family "Bacterial small subunit ribosomal RNA", at positions 28 to 507 of the family's 1533-position model. The record is from RNAcentral.
GACGAACGCUGGCGGCGCGCCUAACACAUGCAAGUCGAACGGAGUCAAGAGGAGCUUGCUUUUCUUGCCUUAGUGGCGCACGGGUGAGUAACGCGUGUGUAACCUGCCCUGCAGUGGGGGACCACAGUUGGAAACGGCUUCUAAUACCGCAUAAGCCCACGGAUCCUCAUGGAUCUUCGGGAAAAGGAUUUAUUCGCUUCAGACUGGACUCUCGUCCAAUUAGCUAGUGGGUGAGGUAACGGCCCACCAAGGCGACGAUUGGUAGCCGGACUGAGAGGUGGACAGGCUGCAUUGGGAAUGAGACACGGACCAGAAUCCUACGGGAGGCAGCAGUGGGGGAUAUUGCAGAAGGGGGGAAAACCUGAUGAAGCGACGCGGCGGGGAGGAAGAAGGUUGUCGGAUUGUAAACUCCUGUCGUAAGGGACGAUAAUGACGGUAACUAACAAGAAAGCACCGGCUAACUACGUG